This 27-nucleotide non-coding RNA is filed under the name Mus musculus (house mouse). The record is from RNAcentral. Lineage: Eukaryota; Metazoa; Chordata; Mammalia; Rodentia; Muridae.
UAGCUCUCAGUACAGAGCAGUGCUUCC